RNAcentral lists this non-coding RNA (99 nucleotides) under Clostridiales bacterium. Its description in RNAcentral is "THF-I sequence". It matches the Rfam family "THF (Tetrahydrofolate) riboswitch aptamer". From Rfam's summary of the family: THF riboswitch presents a pseudoknot that joins P1-P2 and the loop of P3 and two THF binding. The record is from RNAcentral. Lineage: Bacteria; Bacillati; Bacillota; Clostridia; Eubacteriales.
AACAGUGUAGAUUGUUUGCGUAAAGUGGUUAGGCAAAGAACGUUUGACUAACACGAAGAGAGACUUAGAUCUUUCGCGGUGAAUAAUUGCGUUCCUGUU